AUGGGGCGGGGGAGGGGGUAAUCAAGGGCAGAAGACACAGCAUGUGAGGGACUCAGGGAUGAGAAUGAUCCCAGCAGCGACGGCUGUGGGAGGAAAUGAGAGAGGAAGAGGGGCAUCCAUGCAGCUGGAACAUAGACUUUGCGGAGGAGAGAUGCUCAAGGCUGAAAGUGCCAGAUUCCGAGGGCAGGGACUCCUGUAUCUCCAGCGUCAUCAGCAGAGUUCCAUGAUUCAGGUAGUGGAGCUAAAGAAGGACCAUGAAGACCAGCAGGUGAGGGCGCUGGCUGCAAUGAGAUGGAAAUCGGCUGCUUCUGGCUCCUGUACAGAUCCCAGCAGAAGCCCGUCCCAGCCGAUAAGGGCCUCCCACUGCAUCAGGGACCCCGGCGCCUUCUAACUUGUUCUGUCAUCCUAAAAGGCAACUCCCAGCCCAGGCUCCAGGUGGCAGUGCCAGCUCCCGCCACAGUGUUUGCAUGACAGAGCCCAAAUUCCAGAGCAUGUUUCUCAAAUGCGGGUGUCAGUGGAAGUACCUGGAAGCGACCAUAUCAUGAGACUCUGCUGCAACCAUUUUCAUUUUAUUUACUUAUCUGUGUAUUCAAUAAAUUAACUCUCAAGGAGGACUAGUUACUGUUAAAAUUCUGAGCAUGCCACUACUUCAGACGUCUGCGUUGUUGCUUCCUGGAACGUUCUUCAAGAUUUCAUAGGAUUUUCCUCCUCCCAACACACAGGGAAAACCCUCUUCUCCGUUCUCCACCAAUUUACCGUGACUUUUUCAUAGAACCUGUUUCUAUCUGAUGUUUCUAUUUGUUUGUUUAUCAGCCAUCUCACUUCCGAGAGUGUGACUCCGCGAGGACAGGACGGGCCUUUAACAAAGGUCAGUCAGCGCCUCCAUCACUUUUGUUAUUACUUCACACUGAGGAAGACAUUCCGGUGAGAGGAGGGGCAGAUUCUAAAUGUACAAGUAGGAGAAACAGAACCGGAUGAAGGGGAGGAAGAAAGGACCAGCCCUGAGGGAGGGGACAAUCUCAGC
This 1024-nucleotide long non-coding RNA is filed under the name Equus asinus (donkey). RNAcentral describes it as "lncRNA (ENSEASG00005030423.1)". The record is from RNAcentral. Lineage: Eukaryota; Metazoa; Chordata; Mammalia; Perissodactyla; Equidae.